RNAcentral lists this long non-coding RNA (843 nucleotides) under Triticum aestivum (bread wheat). RNAcentral's name for it is "long non-coding RNA (TAES_LNC020672)". The record is from RNAcentral. Lineage: Eukaryota; Viridiplantae; Streptophyta; Magnoliopsida; Poales; Poaceae.
UUGCAAAUAGUUCUAAAUUGAACUGAAAUAAAAUAUAGGAACUGAAUUGAGUGUAUUUUCAGAUUUUUGCUAGCAUGCAUCAAGACAUUUUAUGUCUUUUACAGUAGAACAUAUACUAUUUUUUUGCCAAAUAACUUCAAACAAAACAAAAGUGGAGCUUUAUUUACAAGAAUAGAACUAAACAUAUGCUAGUUUCGAUCCAUACAAGGUUUUCUCAAAUGCUUAUUAAGGCAUAACACAAACGCCUAGUGUACUAUAGAAUAGUUAAAUAGGUGAACUAGAAAGCACACAAAACAUGUACUUUAAAAACACAACAUGAUGAGCGCUGCAUCGUUGCACGACCUCAUGUGGCAGAGGUGAACGGCUUGCGGUAGCAGAGCUGAAUGGCCUGAUCACUGCACAAAGAUCAACACUUGUAAUUUUGUACUUAAACGGCUUAAACAAGACAACAAUGAUCACUUGAACUGAUGGGACAGUAUCAUGGGAACUUAUAGCAAUUUAUCAUUUGAACUAAUAGCAAUAGAAAUUAGAAAUGUGUACUGAUGGGACAAUAUCAGGGGAACUUAUAGCAAUUGAUCAUUUGAACUAGUAGCAAUAGAAAUUAGAAAUUUGUACACGGAUACAACUUAUUGGCUGAGGUAGAAACAAGAACAAGAAUUACAAGAAUGAACCAACCUCAAUCCAAACCAAGCAUCACAAGAAUUAACACUUAAUGAAAGUACAAAAUAUUUACCAUACAGAAACUGAGAAACAUAGUGAUGGCUCAAAAUUUAUAUAAUAUUAAAAGAAAGUAACCAUGUAUAACCAACAUGAGUAUUCAACAAUCACAAAGUGGUAGGGGGG